Oreochromis niloticus (Nile tilapia) is the source of this 774-nucleotide long non-coding RNA. RefSeq lists it as uncharacterized. NCBI's taxonomy places the organism in Eukaryota, Metazoa, Chordata, Actinopteri, Cichliformes, Cichlidae. The transcript has 3 exons. The record is from RefSeq and is a predicted model, not a curated record.
CAAAAUGAAAUAUAAAGUUUAUCUCUCAAAUCUGAAAUAGAGCUGAUUCCUUCUCUGUCCUCACACACUCGGGAUCUGAAGUUGUUCAGUCCUACAGUUCUGCCGACAGCUGACAUAUGAGCUGUUUAUUUUUUAUUUGUUUGAAAGGCCUUAUAUACUAACACAUUUUCUAAUAUCAUGUUUACCUUUGAGUUGUUGAUGCUUUAUAAAUGGACAUCUGCAAAGAUGAGAUGAUGGAGCAGGUUUCAGUCGAGGUUCAGUCUGCUGCUGCGUCCUGGUCACAACAUACGGAGGUGUUAUCAGCAGUGGUAUUGAACAAGAAAUAUUAAUGCUUCAAAUUAUUUGUCCUAAAGGAUGCAAGCUGUACAGAGUACUGCACAUGUGACUUUGUGAACACAACUCAUUAAAAAUAAUUCGGACAGUUUUUUAACCUGAAUAUUUGUAACAAACUCAGUAAAAAAAAAAAAAAAAAUGCUAAAAAAAUAAUCAGAGGAAAAAUGUAACAUUUUAACUUAAGCUGACAAGCGGAAGUAGUUGGUUUUAGUACAUAAGUAUCGGGCUUUGCUAUUUAAUCCGUAGCUAUUGACUGAUGAGGGGUUACUGAAGUGCCAGGUUUUUAAAAGUUGGCGUUAAUGUCCUUCCACAUGUGGAAAGCGACAGAAAACAUGCUGCUGUUUGCACAUAUUUAAUAAUCAGCUCUGCACAGGAGCAGAAGCAGAGUCCAGCCUGUUGCUCUUACAGUAUAAUACCCAUAAUAAAAUUACAGUAACCGUG